This is a long non-coding RNA of Sapajus apella (tufted capuchin), 501 nucleotides long. RefSeq lists it as uncharacterized. The record is from RefSeq and is a predicted model, not a curated record. The transcript has 2 exons. NCBI's taxonomy places the organism in Eukaryota, Metazoa, Chordata, Mammalia, Primates, Cebidae.
UAUUUUACAUAGCAUGAAGUACUAUAAAAUUACAAAAAAUAAGUACAAAAAGUAAUAAGCUAGUAAAUAUAUUAAUGUCUACUUAAUAGAUAUUUAUUAAAUAUCUAUCAAGACACUGACUAGAUAGUAGGGUGGGGAGGAGAAAAGAUUUAAAAUGUGUCUCUGUACUUGGGAAAAUUACAGCUUUAGUGAGUCAUCAUGGUUUGCUUAAGAGAAGGUGAACAAGCAGUCCAAAGCAGUGAAGUGUGUGGAGGCAGCAGCAGGUACUUAAGUUUGGCCUAAUGCUAGCCAAUUGCAUUAUAAGGUGGUUGUUGAUUUUGUUCCUUCAUCUCUACCCCUCUUCCAUCCUUUACUGACUCUGUGCAGUCCUUUAGUGUUGAUCAUAUUUCUAUUCUAAUAUUUGGUGCAUAAUAGGUACUCAGUAACACCUCUUUGGGUGAAUGAAUGAGUGAAUGAAGACAGAAGACAGGCUUUAAACUUUUUAACAAUAUGGUUUAGCAG